Molecule: microRNA precursor, 96 nt
Filed under: Oryza sativa (Asian cultivated rice)
Lineage: Eukaryota; Viridiplantae; Streptophyta; Magnoliopsida; Poales; Poaceae
Description: miR395x stem-loop (osa-MIR395x)
Gene: osa-MIR395x
Rfam family: mir-395 microRNA precursor family (bases 6-91)
About the family: mir-395 was identified in both Arabidopsis thaliana and Oryza sativa computationally and was later experimentally verified. mir-395 is thought to target mRNAs coding for ATP sulphurylases. The mature sequence is excised from the 3' arm of the hairpin.
Source: miRBase by way of RNAcentral
AUUUGGUAUCGCCAUGAGUUCUCUUCAAACUCUUCAUACGACACUAAUUCAAGUGAUGUUGUGAAGUGUUUGGAGUAGCUCUUGGUGUCACCAAAC